This 687-nucleotide ribosomal RNA is filed under the name Pseudoalteromonas sp. UST050418-005. RNAcentral describes it as "bacterial SSU rRNA". It matches the Rfam family "Bacterial small subunit ribosomal RNA", at positions 32 to 718 of the family's 1533-position model. Lineage: Bacteria; Pseudomonadati; Pseudomonadota; Gammaproteobacteria; Alteromonadales; Pseudoalteromonadaceae. The record is from RNAcentral.
GACGCUGGCGGCAGCUACACAUGCAGUUNGAACGGUACAGAAAGUAGCUUGCUACUUUGCUGACGAGCGGCGGACGGGUGAGUAAUGCUUGGGAACAUGCCUUGAGGUGGGGGACAACAGUUGGAAACGACUGCUAAUACCGCAUAAUGUCUACGGACCAAAGGGGGCUUCGGCUCUCGCCUUUAGAUUGGCCCAAGUGGGAUUAGCUAGUUGGUGAGGUAAUGGCUCACCAAGGCAACGAUCCCUAGCUGGUUUGAGAGGAUGAUCAGCCACACUGGAACUGAGACACGGUCCAGACUCCUACGGGAGGCAGCAGUGGGGAAUAUUGCACAAUGGGCGNAAGCCUGAUGCAGCCAUGCCGCGUGUGUGAAGAAGGCCUUCGGGUUGUAAAGCACUUUCAGUCAGGAGGAAAGGGUGUGAGUUAAUACCUCACAUCUGUGACGUUACUGACAGAAGAAGCACCGGCUAACUCCGUGCCAGCAGCCGCGGUAAUACGGAGGGUGCGAGCGUUAAUCGGAAUUACUGGGCGUAAAGCGUACGCAGGCGGUUUGUUAAGCGAGAUGUGAAAGCCCCGGGCUCAACCUGGGAACUGCAUUUCGAACUGGCAAACUAGAGUGUGAUAGAGGGUGGUAGAAUUUCAGGUGUAGCGGUGAAAUGCGUAGAGAUCUGAAGGAAUACCGAUGGCGA